UCGAGAAUUUUUCUCAAUGGGGGAAACCCUGAAGGAGCGACGCCGCGUGGAGGAUGAAGGUCUUCGGGUUGUAAACUCCUGUCAUUUGGGAACAAGGCGCAGGUAUUAACUGUACCUGCGUUGAUAGUACCAGAAGAGGAAGAGACGGCUAACUCUGUG
Molecule: ribosomal RNA, 159 nt
Filed under: uncultured bacterium
Lineage: Bacteria
Description: partial 16S ribosomal RNA
Rfam family: Bacterial small subunit ribosomal RNA
Source: RNAcentral